UACGAAGGGGGCUAGCGUUGCUCGGAAUCACUGGGCGUAAAGGGUGCGUAGGCGGGUCUUUAAGUCAGGGGUGAAAUCCUGGAGCUCAACUCCAGAACUGCCUUUGAUACUGAAGAUCUUGAGUUCGGGAGAGGUGAGUGGAACUGCGAGUGUAGAGGUGAAAUUCGUAGAUAUUCGCAAGAACACCAGUGGCGAAGGCGGCUA
Molecule: ribosomal RNA, 204 nt
Filed under: uncultured bacterium
Lineage: Bacteria
Description: partial 16S ribosomal RNA
Rfam family: Bacterial small subunit ribosomal RNA
Source: RNAcentral